Molecule: long non-coding RNA, 1220 nt
Filed under: Drosophila guanche
Lineage: Eukaryota; Metazoa; Arthropoda; Insecta; Diptera; Drosophilidae
Source: RNAcentral
GGGAAGGGUAUUAUUGUGAUUCUGCUGUUCAAAUCCACAAUCUGCAACAAAACCGGAGGUUGCAUGAAUUUCUAUUCAAACAAGAGUAAUGCUAUAUAUCAAUAUCACGAAAUGUCUCUGAUUUACACCUUUGCAAUCCUUUCAAUAACCUUAUUUCUAUAUCGGCGUAUACUAUGCAAACAUAAUCUCGGCAUAGCCACGCGAAAGGACUCGAGAAAGAUUGAAAUAAUAAUUAUCCAUAAAGAAGGUGCUACAGAUCUAAUUCAAAAGAACUGCAGAAAAUAUAUCGUCGCCAUAAAUUAUGUUAUAGCGUAUAACAGCAUUUGAUAUUUAGUGAAGGCGCAGGAAUGUAUGGGGCGUAUUUUUUCAGCACGUUAAUUUUAGCGAGAAACCUCUUUUCUAUUUGGAGGUUUUUAUAGGAUAUGUCAAUAUUCUAUAAUCGAUUACUGCAGCCUGACAUCUGUUUCAAUAACCACACGUACAUGUUGGAACUUUUAAGCCUUCGCUGUAUGAAUUUUACUAACUUAGAAAACCGACCUUGAUAAUAGACGUGUUAGCUGAAUCCGAGUUGAUAGCAGAGUAAUUUUUACCAAAAAAAUUUGGAAAAAAUUGCAACGUAUUUUAAAUCAUAUGACCUUAUCUGGAUGAAAGAUAGCUUUUUAGGAAAACCGUGGAACCAAUCGAUAUAAGAUUCGUACUUAGCAUACUGUGCGUUACACAGCGACUCUGAUAGUACUUCGAAUUAUUCUCGUAAAUAUUUCUUAUUUAUAUUACAUGAGGUAUUUUUGGGUGUAUUCUUCUUUUUUGGCCUUGUCAUUCCAUAUCGCAGGAGAAGAUAGAAUACGACAAAAUAUUUCAAGACCCGUGUAACAAGAAAAAGAAAAAGAUAUAAUGCUCGAGAAGCUUCGAAUGCUUUACUCAUAUAACGGAUUGAUAUAGGUAACACUAUAUAUUUCUGGAAGCAGAGAUGGAUGCGGAAUCCAUCGAAUGGAAACUAACUGCAAAUUUACGUAAUGGACCUACUUUUUUUCAACCGUUAGCCGACUCUAUUGAACCAUUACAGUUCAAACUUAUCGGAUCGGAUACAGUGGCAACUGCAUUUCCUGUAUUUGACACCAAAUAUAUACCGGACUCACUCAUUAACUAUCUUUUUAAAUUGUUUAAUUUGGAAAUUGAAAGUGGCAAGACUUAUCCACAAUUGCACAGUUUGACAAAACAGG